Molecule: ribosomal RNA, 424 nt
Filed under: uncultured prokaryote
Description: bacterial SSU rRNA
Rfam family: Bacterial small subunit ribosomal RNA
Source: RNAcentral
UGGGGAAUCUUAGACAAUGGGGGAAACCCUGAUCUAGCCAUGCCGCGUGAGUGACGAAGGCCCUAGGGUCGUAAAGCUCUUUCACCAGGGAAGAUAAUGACGGUACCUGGAGAAGAAACCCCGGCUAACUCCGUGCCAGCAGCCGCGGUAAUACGGAGGGGGUUAGCGUUGUUCGGAAUUACUGGGCGUAAAGCGCGCGUAGGCGGACUGUUAAGUCGGGGGUGAAAUCCCGGGGCUCAACCCCGGAACUGCCCUCGAUACUGGCAGUCUUGAGUUCGAGAGAGGUGAGUGGAACUCCGAGUGUAGAGGUGAAAUUCGUAGAUAUUCGGAAGAACACCAGUGGCGAAGGCGGCUCACUGGCUCGAUACUGACGCUGAGGUGCGAAAGUGUGGGGAGCAAACAGGAUUAGAUACCCCCGUAGUCC